UACGGAGGGUGCGAGCGUUUAAUCGGAAUUACUGGGCGUAAAGGGUGCGUAGGUGGUAGGAUAAGUUAGCUGUGAAAUUCCUGGGCUUAACCUAGGGUGGUCAGCUAAGACUGUUUUACUUGAGUAUAGGAGAGGGUAGUGGAAUUUCCGGUGUAGCGGUGAAAUGCGUAGAGAUCGGAAGGAACACCAGUGGCGAAGGCGGGUUGCUGGGCUGACACUGACGCUGGAAGCGCGAAAGCUAGGGGAGCGAACGGG
RNAcentral lists this ribosomal RNA (255 nucleotides) under uncultured bacterium. Its description in RNAcentral is "partial 16S ribosomal RNA". It matches the Rfam family "Bacterial small subunit ribosomal RNA", at positions 524 to 776 of the family's 1533-position model. The record is from RNAcentral.